CGUUGUCGUUGAGUGGUUCUGAAAUAGCUGCGUUAGGGGCAACUGCAACCAAGCGUUGCGGCAAGUUACGGUGGGAGCUUCUGUCCGUGCUCUGUGAUUGCGAAGAGGGGACCGCCGCCAGCAGCAGCGUAUCGCCGAUUUUGUCUUUGCCGACAUCAAGCAAGUGCAGCUCGCCAGACCGUCACAAGCGCCCGAAGUGCUGCGGUUUGCACUGCAUCUUUCAUUGUGAUAUGGGAUAUCGCAGCGGACAGAGACGACCAGAUUCAUACGAACCACUACCAGCGGGGACCUGUGAUCUGUGCCAUAUUUCUCUUAACGUCUCAGGUAUUCAAGAAAUGGCAGCAGCCAGAAGUCGCCCUCUUAUCCAGCACGUUAUGGGUACACUCUGGCGGCUCCUACUCCUGUGUCCUACCAGCACCCUGUCCUGACUACGUCCACUAGGGAGUUGGGAGCCUUUGGCGGCUUCUGCCCCUGCAUCCUGCUGCCACCAUGUCCCGACUACAUCCACUAGGGAGUUGGCAGCCUUAGUGAUGAUGCCAGCAGGCUGACAGCCGACAGAAAGAUUCAGGUUGCCUCGAAAUUUUACCCAAGCCAUGCCGCAGACUCGGGCCAGGCCUCUUGCGAACGACGUAUAACCAGGCUCAACGCAUCAGUUUCGAGUGAGUCCGGAGAUCAAGGCAACCUGCUGCGCAACCAGCGUGCAACCUUUGGUGACCCCUCUAGAUGUUCUAUUUAUUUCACAGCUGUGCCUCACCUACCAUCUAUCCAAACAGCAUCACCAUCUGUGAUCACUUAUCGAACCAUGGAUGAAUGUUGGGGUGGAGUGAUUUGAACAGACAUUCCAUUUGUCUCUUCAAAGUCUUUGCAAAUAUUUCUGCUAUUAUAAUUCAUAUGUGUCUUUAGCACCUAGUUUUUAAUAGUUCCGUUCUCUUAGAAUUUUCACCAUCUACUCCUGCUGUUAUAAUGUAUACCUGCCUUUAACCCCCAUUUCUCGUAGUUCUUUUGUACUUGUGGAUGUCAUUGAUAGGUUCUUAAUUCUUGUUGUACAGAAGGCCAAAAUGCCAACUUACGGCAUUUUUUCUUCCUUUGAUAAUCUACAGCACUGCAAUGCGUUCAAGAAAUGUAACAUAACACGGGCUCUGGUGCAGGAUAAAUUUAAGCGCAAUAUAGAGCACUUAU
Dermacentor albipictus is the source of this 1179-nucleotide long non-coding RNA. RefSeq lists it as uncharacterized. The record is from RefSeq and is a predicted model, not a curated record. Lineage: Eukaryota; Metazoa; Arthropoda; Arachnida; Ixodida; Ixodidae.